UCAGGAGCCGGUUGUAUAAAAACGUAAUUAGCGCUAACUGCAGUUAGCGUUAAUCACUGUAGUUAAAUCCUUAACUGUAAUUAGUUAACUACAUGACUUAACUACGUUGCACAAAACGUAGUUAGUCGGAUAGUUAACUAAUCACGUAGUUAACUGUGCGCGGGGCUUGCGUGGGGCGUUUAAACACAAAAUUACAUAAAGUAAGCAGCGAGUAACGACCGCUGACACACAUUUUCAACAUGAUUGUGGACUCGUAUUUUGCAAAUAGGCGGGAAUUUUAUUCAAAACACUAGAAAACAGUUAAAAAUAAACAAGAAAACAAGGAAAAACCGCCACAAAAAUCAUAAAAGAAUGCAGUUUUUCCUUGAGAUGUCUACGUUACACCAAGGUAUAGCUGUUUGGCAAUUAUAUAUCAAUGUUUCUUGGUGUAAUGGACCAUACUUUGUCUUCGAGAAAUCCUCCUAUGCA
Paramuricea clavata is the source of this 468-nucleotide non-coding RNA. Lineage: Eukaryota; Metazoa; Cnidaria; Anthozoa; Malacalcyonacea; Plexauridae. The record is from the annotation of a GenBank genome assembly.